AGAGUUUGAUCGUGGCUCAGGAUGAACGCUAGCGGCAGGCUUAACACAUGCAAGUCGAGGGGCAGCACGGGUAGCAAUACUUGGUGGCGACCGGCGCAAGGGUGCGUAACGCGUGAGCAACAUGCCCGUAUCAGGGGGAUAAUCCAUGGAAACGUGGUCUAAUACCCCAUAGUAAGUUUUUGGGGCAUCUCAAAGAUUUUAAAGCUUUGGUGGAUACGGAUUGGCUCGCGUGACAUUAGCUAGAUGGUAAGGUAACGGCUUACCAUGGCUACGAUGUCUAGGGGUUCUGAGAGGAAGGUCCCCCACACUGGAACUGAGACACGGUCCAGACUCCUACGGGAGGCAGCAGUGAGGAAUAUUGGACAAUGGAUGGAAAUCUGAUCCAGCCAUGCCGCGUGCAGGAAGACGGCCCUAUGGGUUGUAAACUGCUUUUGUAUGGGAGCAAUAAGAUCUACGUGUAGAUUGAUGAGAGUACCAUACGAAUAAGCACCGGCUAACUCCGUGCCAGCAGCCGCGGUAAUACGGAGGGUGCAAGCGUUAUCCGGAUUUAUUGGGUUUAAAGGGUGCGUAGGCGGUUUGAUAAGUCAGCGGUGAAAUAUUUCAGCUUAACUGGAAGGGUGCCGUUGAUACUGUCGAGCUUGAAUUUAGUUGCUGUGGGUGGAAUGUGUGGUGUAGCGGUGAAAUGCAUAGAUAUCACACAGAAUAUCGAUUGCGAAGGCAGCUCACAAAGCUAAUAUUGACGCUGAUGCACGAAAGUGUGUGGAUCAAACAGGAUUAGAUACCCUGGUAGUCCACACUGUAAACGAUGAUAACUCGCUGUCGGCGAUACACCGUCGGUGGCCAAGCGAAAGCGAUAAGUUAUCCACCUGGGGAGUACGACCGCAAGGUUGAAACUCAAACGAAUUGACGGA
This 911-nucleotide ribosomal RNA is filed under the name bacterium enrichment culture clone B14. Its description in RNAcentral is "bacterial SSU rRNA". It matches the Rfam family "Bacterial small subunit ribosomal RNA", at positions 8 to 917 of the family's 1533-position model. The record is from RNAcentral.